GAUCACAUUAUGUGACAUAUCAUUCAAGUUUCUGACCUAUCAGCUUUAGACGGUAGGGUAUUGGCCUACCGUGGCUAUGACGGGUAACGGGGAAUUAGGGUUCGAUUCCGGAGAGGGAGCCUGAGAAACGGCUACCACAUCUAAGGAAGGCAGCAGGCGCGCAAAUUACCCAAUCCUAAUACAGGGAGGUAGUGACAAGAAAUAACAAUACAGAACCUUACGGUUUUGUAAUUGGAAUGAGUUAAGUAUAAACCCCUUAACAAGUAUCAAUUGGAGGGCAAGUCUGGUGCCAGCAGCCGCGGUAAUUCCAGCUCCAAUAGCGUAUAUUAAAGUUGUUGCAGUUAAAAAGCUCGUAGUUAAUCUUCUGUUAAUUUUUAUAUAUAAUAUUUCGAUAUUUAUAUAAUAUUAACAUAAUUCAUAUUACUUUUUAGUAUAUGAAACUUUACUUUGAGAAAAUUAGAGUGCUUAAAGCAGGCUAUUGCCUUGAAUACUCCAGCAUGGAAUAAUAUUAAGGAUUUUUAUUCUUCUUAUUGGUUCUAGAAUAAAAAUGAUGAUUAAUAGGAACAGUUGGGGGCAUUUGUAUUUAACAGUCAGAGGUGAAAUUCUUAGAUUUGUUAAAGACAAACUACUGCGAAAGCAUUUGCCAAGGAUGUUUUCAUUAAUCAAGAACGAAAGUUAGGGGAUCGAAGACGAUCAGAUACCGUCGUAGUCUUAACCAU
Molecule: ribosomal RNA, 719 nt
Filed under: Cryptosporidium xiaoi
Lineage: Eukaryota; Apicomplexa; Conoidasida; Eucoccidiorida; Cryptosporidiidae
Description: SSU rRNA
Rfam family: Eukaryotic small subunit ribosomal RNA
Source: RNAcentral